Molecule: ribosomal RNA, 120 nt
Filed under: Streptomyces hachijoensis
Lineage: Bacteria; Bacillati; Actinomycetota; Actinomycetes; Kitasatosporales; Streptomycetaceae
Description: partial 16S rRNA
Rfam family: Bacterial small subunit ribosomal RNA
Source: RNAcentral
UCUAAUACCGGAUAGGACACGUUGAUGCAUGUCUUCGUGUGGAAAGUUUUUUCGGUGGGGGAUGGGCCCGCGGCCUAUCAGCUUGUUGGUGGGGUGAUGGCCUACCAAGGCGACGACGGG